Molecule: ribosomal RNA, 406 nt
Filed under: uncultured bacterium
Lineage: Bacteria
Description: partial 16S ribosomal RNA
Rfam family: Bacterial small subunit ribosomal RNA
Source: RNAcentral
AUUGAACGCUGGCGGCAGGCCUAACACAUGCAAGUCGAACGCGUGGCGGACGGGAGAGAAGUGUCUGGAAAACUGCCUGAGAGAGGGGGAACACUACUAGAAACGGUAGAUUAUACCGCAUCCCAACGGAUGUCCCCAUAGGGGAUUAGCUAGUAGGUGGGGUAAAGGCUCACCUAGGCGACGACCCCUAGCUUGUCAGAGAGGAUGACCAGCCACACGGGAACUGAGACACGGUCCAGACUCCUACGGGAGGCAGCAGUGGGGAAUAUUGCACAAUGGGCGCAAGCCUGAUGCAGCCAUGCCGCGUGUAUGAAGAAGGCCUUCGGGUUGUAAAGUACUUUCAGCGGGGAGGCGUUACCCGCAGAAGAAGCACCGGCUAACUCCGUGCCAGCAGCCGCGGUAAUAC